RNAcentral lists this ribosomal RNA (490 nucleotides) under uncultured bacterium. RNAcentral's name for it is "bacterial SSU rRNA". It matches the Rfam family "Bacterial small subunit ribosomal RNA", at positions 30 to 507 of the family's 1533-position model. The record is from RNAcentral.
UGAACGCUAGCUACAGGCUUAACACAUGCAAGUCGCGGGGUAACAUCUGGUAGAGCUUGCUCUUCCAGGAUGACGACCGGCGCACGGGUGAGUAACGUGUAUCCAACCUGCCCAUCACUUGGGAAUAACCUUGCGAAAGUAAGACUAAUGCCCAAUGACAUUUAUAGAAGGCAUCUGAAAUGAAUUAAAGAUUUAUCGGUGAUGGAUGGGGAUGCGUCUGAUUAGCUUGUUGGCGGGGUAACGGCCCACCAAGGCGACGAUCAGUAGGGGUUCUGAGAGGAAGGUCCCCCACAUUGGAACUGAGACACGGUCCAAACUCCUACGGGAGGCAGCAGUGAGGAAUAUUGGUCAAUGGGCGAGAGCCUGAACCAGCCAAGUAGCGUGCAGGAUGACGGCCCUAUGGGUUGUAAACUGCUUUUAUAAGGGAAUAAAGUGAGCCUCGUGAGGCUUUUUGCAUGUACCUUAUGAAUAAGGACCGGCUAAUUCCGUG